RNAcentral lists this ribosomal RNA (253 nucleotides) under uncultured bacterium. RNAcentral describes it as "partial 16S ribosomal RNA". It matches the Rfam family "Bacterial small subunit ribosomal RNA", at positions 524 to 776 of the family's 1533-position model. The record is from RNAcentral.
UACGUAGGGUGCGAGCGUUAAUCGGAAUUACUGGGCGUAAAGCGUGCGCAGGCGGUUUUGUAAGUCUGAUGUGAAAGCCCCGGGCUCAACCUGGGAAUUGCAUUGGAUACUGGCAGGCUAGAGUGCGGUAGAGGGGAGUGGAAUUCCCGGUGUAGCAGUGAAAUGCGUAGAGAUCGGGAGGAACACCAGUGGCGAAGGCGACUACCUGGACCAGCACUGACGCUGAGGCGCGAAAGCGUGGGGAGCAAACAGG